This is a long non-coding RNA of Vigna angularis (adzuki bean), 932 nucleotides long. RefSeq lists it as uncharacterized. The record is from RefSeq and is a predicted model, not a curated record. The transcript has 3 exons. Lineage: Eukaryota; Viridiplantae; Streptophyta; Magnoliopsida; Fabales; Fabaceae.
AACAUAUUGUAGGGAAAAUAUUUUAAAAGUAGAAAACCUUACAUGAAAUAUUGAGAGGAAAAGAGAGAGUGUGUGUGUGACAAAGAUGCUACAGGGACAUGAGACUAAAGGAGAGUAUAGGCUUGUUGUGAUCUUAUGUGUAUAGAAAGUCUAGUAUUGGCCAAGGUAUAAGGAAGCUUACCCAAUCUCCAAUGUAUGAUGACCACUACAGGAAAAGCGAUUUUUACCGGCGGAAAUUUAACGACGGCCUUAGAGCCUUCGAUAAUGAGUUGGUGAAUUAAAAUACUGACGACCUAAGAGCCUUCAGUAAUGUCUUCGAUUAAUUUUGCCCCAAAUCACGAUCUUCCCCCUCUACAACUCAUUUCCCACCAACAGCUAAUGUCCGUCCCUUCUCCAAGGUGAAAAAGAAAACACUAAACCCUUCUCCAUUGCACAAAACACUUGGUCGAAGACUUGGUUUUUGUAUCAAUUCUAGCUAGGAAACCGUUGGAUGAGUGCUUUGUAGUGAUCUCUAUGACAACGUGGAGGCUCCAUUAGAGUUGAAUCAUCGUGGGACGAGGGUUUAGUGGUUGGCGGAGGCUUCAUGGUUCGUCGUCGUUGGCGUAAGGAGGCGACAGUGCUAAGGAAGGGCUCCCUGGUCCGUUCAGCGAGGCGGAGGUUUGGUGCAGCUCUGGGCUUGGACGAAUAAGCCAUCUCGUUCUCUACAAAUCGAACCAGAUAUUUAAUUAUUCAUCCAUAUUGGAAGGUAGAGAGAUCGAAGAAAUUAGAAGCUAGUGGGUUUCCUUUCUUUUAAGGGCAUUGAUAACUUGUAAAUAUCUUAGGUUUACAGUAAUUUAUAAUCAAUAAUGUGAUUGAGCAAUGAUAUGUGCAUGAUCUCAAUGUGUUAGUCAAUACACCAGUCCUAGUAGUUAAUUAUGUAUGGAUUUUUGGUA